AGCGGCGGACGGGUGAGUAACGCGUGGGUAACCUGCCUCAUACAGGGGGAUAACAGUUGGAAACGGCUGCUAAUACCGCAUAAGCGCACAGUACCGCAUGGUACGGUGUGAAAAACUCCGGUGGUAUGAGAUGGACCCGCGUCUGAUUAGGUAGUUGGUGGGGUAACGGCCUACCAAGCCGACGAUCAGCAGCCGACCUGAGAGGGUGACCGGCCACAUUGGGACUGAGACACGGCCCAA
This 240-nucleotide ribosomal RNA is filed under the name uncultured bacterium. RNAcentral's name for it is "partial 16S ribosomal RNA". It matches the Rfam family "Bacterial small subunit ribosomal RNA", at positions 94 to 334 of the family's 1533-position model. The record is from RNAcentral.